RNAcentral lists this ribosomal RNA (253 nucleotides) under uncultured bacterium. Its description in RNAcentral is "partial 16S ribosomal RNA". It matches the Rfam family "Bacterial small subunit ribosomal RNA", at positions 524 to 776 of the family's 1533-position model. The record is from RNAcentral.
UACGUAGGGUGCGAGCGUUAAUCGGAAUUACUGGGCGUAAAGCGUGCGCAGGCGGUUCGUUAAGUCAGAUGUGAAAGCCCCGGGCUCAACCUGGGAACUGCAUUUGAAACUGGCGGGCUUGAGUGUGGCAGAGGGGGGUGGAAUUCCGCGUGUAGCAGUGAAAUGCGUAGAUAUCGAGAAGAACACUUAGGGCGUAGGCAAGACUCUGGACAAAUGCUGACGCUCAUGCACGAAGGCUAGGGUAGCGAACGGG